This 809-nucleotide ribosomal RNA is filed under the name uncultured Pseudoxanthomonas sp. Its description in RNAcentral is "bacterial SSU rRNA". It matches the Rfam family "Bacterial small subunit ribosomal RNA", at positions 83 to 879 of the family's 1533-position model. Lineage: Bacteria; Pseudomonadati; Pseudomonadota; Gammaproteobacteria; Lysobacterales; Lysobacteraceae. The record is from RNAcentral.
ACGCACCGCGGUGCUUUGACUGGGUGAGGAAUACAUCGGAAUCUUGCCUUGUUGUGGGGAAUAACGUAGGGAAACUUACGCUAAUACCGCAUGAGACCGUAAGGUGAAAGUGGGGGAUCGCAAGACCUCACGCGACAAGAUGAGCCGAUGUCGGAUUAGCUAGUUGGUGGGGUAAUGGCCUACCAAGGCGACGAUCCGUAGCUGGUCUGAGAGGAUGAUCAGCCACACUGGGACUGAGACACGGCCCAGACUCCUACGGGAGGCAGCAGUGGGGAAUAUUGGACAAUGGGCGCAAGCCUGAUCCAGCCAUGCCGCGUGGGUGAAGAAGGCCUUCGGGUUGUAAAGCCCUUUUGUUGGGAGAGAAAUCCUGUCGGCUAAUACCCGGCGGGGAUGACGGUACCCAAAGAAUAAGCACCGGCUAACUUCGUGCCAGCAGCCGCGGUAAUACGAAGGGUGCAAGCGUUACUCGGAAUUACUGGGCGUAAAGCGUGCGUAGGCGGUUCGUUAAGUCUGUCGUGAAAGCCCUGGGCUCAACCUGGGAAUUGCGAUGGAUACUGGCGAGCUAGAGUACGGUAGAGGAUGGUGGAAUUCCCGGUGUAGCGGUGAAAUGCGUAGAGAUCGGGAGGAACACCCGUGGCGAAGGCGGCCAUCUGGACCAGUACUGACGCUGAGGCACGAAAGCGUGGGGGAGCAAACAGGAUUAGAUACCCUGGGUAGUCCACGCCCCUAAACUAUGCGAAACUGGAUGUUGGGGCACACCUUAGGUGCUCAGUGUCGAACCUAACGCCGUUAAAUUCGCCGCCUUGGGG